UCCAGACUCCUACGGGAGGCAGCAGUGGGGGAUAUUGCACAAUGGGGGGAACCCUGAUGCAGCGACGCCGCGUGGGUGAAGGAGCGUUUCGGCGCGUAAAGCCCUCUCGGCAGGGAAGAAGGAGGACGGUACCUGACUAAGAAGCCCCGGCUAACUACGUGCCAGCAGCCGCGGUAAUACGUAGGGGGCAAGCGUUAUCCGGAUUUACUGGGUGUAAAGGGGGCGCAGACGGCAGCGCAAGCCAGGAGUGAAAGCCCGGGGCCCAGCCCCGGGACUGCUCUUGGAACUGCACGGCUGGAGUGCAGGAGGGGCAGGCGGAAUUCCUGGUGUAGCGGUGAAAUGCGUAGAUAUCAGGAGGAACACCGGUGGCGAAGGCGGCCUGCUGGACUGCGACUGACGUUGAGGCCCGAAAGCGUGGGGAGCAAACAGGAUUAGAUACCCGAGUAU
Molecule: ribosomal RNA, 447 nt
Filed under: uncultured bacterium
Lineage: Bacteria
Description: bacterial SSU rRNA
Rfam family: Bacterial small subunit ribosomal RNA
Source: RNAcentral